This 222-nucleotide unclassified non-coding RNA is filed under the name uncultured Solirubrobacterales bacterium. RNAcentral's name for it is "contains 16S-23S intergenic spacer region". The record is from RNAcentral. Lineage: Bacteria; Bacillati; Actinomycetota; Thermoleophilia; Solirubrobacterales.
UCCGGUUUGUCACCGGCAGUCUCCCAUGAGUCCCCAACUUAAUGAUGGCAACAUGGAACGGGGGUUGCGCUCGUUGCGGGACUUAACCCAACAUCUCACGACACGAGCUGACGACAGCCAUGCACCACCUGUGAUGGUGUCCCGAAGGAAAACCGUGUUUCCACGGCGGUCACCAACAUGUCAAGCCCAGGUAAGGUGGGGAUGACGUGCUCGGAUUCUAAG